This 329-nucleotide ribosomal RNA is filed under the name uncultured eukaryote. Its description in RNAcentral is "partial 18S ribosomal RNA". It matches the Rfam family "Eukaryotic small subunit ribosomal RNA", at positions 1470 to 1796 of the family's 1831-position model. The record is from RNAcentral.
CCCUUAGAUGUCCUGGGCCGCACGCGCGUUACACUGAUGCAUUCAACGAGCUUAUAACCUUGGCCGAGAGGCCUGGGCAAUCUUGUUAACGUGCAUCGUGAUAGGGAUAGAUUAUUGAAAUUAUUAAUCUUGAACGAGGAAUUCCUAGUAAACGCAGAUCAUCAAUCUGCAUUGAUUACGUCCCUGCCCUUUGUACACACCGCCCGUCGCUCCUACCGAUUGAGUGUGUUGGUGAGGAGUUUGGAUUGGCCUCGGAAGGUGGUUCGCCACCGUCCGUAGCUGAGAAGUUCUCCAAACCGCCCCACUUAGAGGAAGGAGAAGUCGUAACA